Molecule: long non-coding RNA, 1962 nt
Organism: Ictalurus punctatus (channel catfish)
Lineage: Eukaryota; Metazoa; Chordata; Actinopteri; Siluriformes; Ictaluridae
Source: Ensembl
AUAUGUAUUUUUGUUACACCAGUAAGACCCUGAAAGUACGACCGGAUCAUUUGUGUUUUGCACAAAAGAACAUCGCUUCCCCAAAUUAUUUCAGUGUCCGUUCCAGGCGUCUAAAGUUCAGCGUCUCGAGCAAUUCGUUGAUCGUUUUAGAUUUCCCCACCAAUAAACGCCUCUUUGUGUUUGACCGAGCUGCUUUGGACGAGCGCUGGCCCACGGCUGCCUAAAUGGCCCGAUUCUGUUUCCCCUUACUCACUGUAAAUUUCAAUAAUUUGUUUGACUGCCUUCUCUCCCUGUCACUUUUUAUCAUAUUAUCAAUGACCGCUAAAUUUCUCCCUCGCCUGCUCCAGUAGCAGAGCUGACCCCGCUCCCUAUUACAGUUCUGUAAUGAAGUGCAAUGGACUGGUAAUUGGUUCACAUUAUACCAGAUCAGGUAACAUUAGCCUUAUUUCCUUAUCGCAAUGAGUCCUGCUGCUGCCUUCUCAAUGAGAAACUCAACACAGCCUUUCCCUCGCUUUAAUGCACGGGGUGUCAUCCAAAUAACAUUUCAGCUCAUCCAGGCAAUCCCCCCCUCCCCAUUCCAGUUUUCUAUUUCAAGAUUGCUCUCGAUGUUUAGCUAAGCGAUUUCUGCUUGUCUGCCGGUUCCUUCUGCUUGAAAACUCCCGAAAAGGCGGCGGCCAUAGGCACGGAGAUAUAAGCGGAUAGCAUUCCCCAUCCAGAGGGAAGUACAGUAUGCAAGAUGGUAACCUAAGUGAAUGGGUGAAAUGCGAGCAGGCCGUACAGUGGCCUCCUGCCCCCUUUUUUUCAUUCGAGUGGCCCAGACGGCUGCUGCCUUUUGUUCAAGCACUGCGAGCAACAGGAGCCAGAGCACAGUCAUGUUUAUUUCAGCUCAAAUGAGUUCCCCGGCCGUGCGCAUAGCCGACGUAUUAGCCAUGACCAUUGUUUUGUCUGCUGGCCGUUUACUGUUUCGUGCACCUAGGCCGACACCGCUUAGCAAACGAAGUUUGGUCCUGCCGAAUGCGCUUACAUACGUGGUAACUCUGUAACAUUAGAACUUCACGAACUGAGGUUUGCUUUUUAUAAGGACUCUCCUCAGAGCGUCUUGAAGCUGGUAGGAUCGAGAUCAGUAAUCAUAAGAGAGUGCAUCCGCCUUCCUUCGAACUCGCGUUUCCAUUUGCCUCGCAUUCUCUCAUGUUAAAAUUGAUGGCUGCAUGGGUCAGUAUUCGUAUUGUUCCCCUUUUAUGAGUAACAUGGAAAAAUAUUUGGAAUAAACAACGCAACAUGUUCAUCAUACAAAUGGCGACUGAAAAAACGCCAUUUGCCACACACCUGUUAGUCAUGUUACAGACACGCCCCCGAUGCACCUUCGGUCUACCCCCAUUUUUAGUACUCAGAAACCAAAAUAUAGCAGAUCCUAGUGCUUAAACCAUGGUCAAGGUAUAAUUACAUUAAAAAAGCCUGCAUCUGAAAUCUGGAAGAUUCUUAUUGUACCAAAUUAUCCCCGUCAUGUUAUUAUUCCAGUUAUAAACUGGUAAACUGUUUGGAUCAAUGACAACAACUUGAGUAGUUUUCCAGUACUCCAAUAUGCCUUUUUGAUCAAAUGAUGUUCAGCAAUGUAGGUUCUGUCCUGGGGCCAAGCAUUUUUCCUUUCCAGGAACUUAACUUACCGUUAGGCCAUCGAGAUGAUAAUAAUUACAUUUUUAAUUGUGUCAAAACAAUUUUCUCAAAGGGGUGUUUGACGAAACCCAGGAUGACACCCCUCUGUUCUCUUGUUACACUAACAGCCAUGUUCUGGGAUGCCUCCAAAGCUUCAUUCCCCCAUUUAGCCCUGGCCUGUACUAUUACACACCAUCUAUACAUAAUUAAUAAAGUGGUAGUCUUUUAGCCUGGCACAGACAGGUGUCAUGCCUACUGCGAUCCUCAGGUAGAUGUUAAUGCUUAAUGUUGCAAAUAACACGCGCCACG